RNAcentral lists this ribosomal RNA (468 nucleotides) under uncultured bacterium. RNAcentral's name for it is "partial 16S ribosomal RNA". It matches the Rfam family "Bacterial small subunit ribosomal RNA", at positions 28 to 507 of the family's 1533-position model. The record is from RNAcentral.
GACGAACGCUGGCGGCGUGCUUAACACAUGCAAGUCGAACGGAAAGGCCCUGCUUUUGUGGGGUGCUCGAGUGGCGAACGGGUGAGUAACACGUGAGUAACCUGCCCUUGACUUUGGGAUAACUUCAGGAAACUGGGGCUAAUACCGGAUAGGAGCUCCUGCUGCAUUGUGGGGGUUGGAAAGUUUCGGCGGUUGGGGCUGGACUCGCGGCUUAUCAGCUUGUUGGUGGGGUAGUGGCUUACCAAGGCUUUGACGGGUAGCCGGCCUGAGAGGGUGAACGGCCACAUUGGGACUGAGAUACGGCCCAGACUCCUACGGGAGGCAGCAGUGGGGAAUAUUGCACAAUGGGCGGAAGCCUGAUGCAGCAACGCCGCGUGCGGGAUGACGGCCUUCGGGUUGUAAACCGCUUUCGCCUGUGACGAAGCGUGAGUGACGGUAAUGGGUAAAGAAGCACCGGCUAACUACGUG